UUUCUCUUCCAAACCAGGCACCAAUGCCGUGAACUGGAAGCCUGCAGCUGGGAGCAGAGAGUGGUUGUCGCAGUCUGCUGAUCCCCGUCGGCUGAGGCAGUGCCCAGACAUAGCGGCGCAGCCCCUUUCCACCAGCUGAGCCACGCACAGCGGCUGUGGCCCAACGGAGCCAUGGGUCUCUUCCCAACACAGCCACGAGCAAUAUCCUGAACAGAGCAUUCUAACUUCAGGUGAAGAAAAGCAACAGAAGCAGAUGGGCUCGUAAACAGCAGAGAUCUGGCUCUCCCACAGAGGUCCUUGCGGAGUGGAAAGGAGCAGAAUGGAAGACUACUGCAGAUCCUGUGGUGUGCAAGAGUCACGGAGAAAAGAGACCUAUGAAAGAUGGCUCCAGGUUGGGGUUUUAGAGAGGUUUGUGCUUGAUCUAGGGUUGAAAGGUUGGUGUUUCUAUUUUUCUUGGGGAUUGGGAGGAGAGAGAUUACUGAGUCCUUGAGUCUCAAUGUAAAACGAUUAGAAUCUGGAACAGAUUCCCAAAAUACAUUUAGGGAUGACUAAAUGCACAAAGCAGCUUGAAUAUACCUACCACCAGAGUUCAUCCAGUGCUGGAUAAAGCCUCUGAAAUGGGCAGUGCUUUAAUAAAGUCCAUAUGUCUGGGGACUCAAAAUACAAGAAAAAAUUAUGGGGAGGGAGAGAUAACACUUCCUCCAUUUCUUAGAAAGGGAGAAAAUGCCAAAAAGUUACUAAUUUUUUUCCUGAGGCAUUCCUCAGCUGGACAAGAACCACUACAGGUUAAGACGAUCCCCAUAACCUGACACUUGCAGAACUUCAUCCUGGCACAAGUAGUUCUGGCAUUUCUAGGGAGAUCUGUAAUUCCAAGUAAUAACCUUGGAGGUUAAUUGAAGUCUGAAAAUAAGUUUAUUUGGUAGGUGGGCUAGAGGGGAUUUUAAUUAUGUGUUUAGAUCAGUGUUGCUUUAAGCAUUAAUUUUCCCUGGGAAAGCAAGCUGUAUAUCAGGAACAACACCUUCACACAGCUUAGAUUUGGAGACAGAAAAUCAGGGGGGACUGGCAAAAGCCCAUAGCCUGUUAUGGCAGACGGAAAUGAGCUCUGAAUUAAAAGAAUCUCUUUUGUUUGUUUUAGGCCAAAAAUAACUGGACUCUGGGUAAGUCCUGAUUCCCUGAGAAUGGGAGCUCAGUAGUUUUUUGACAGUCAGGCUGUCAAAAGAAAGCUAUCCGAAAUGCAGACUACACACGUCUGAAUUUUUUUUUACCUUAUUUCUCUUUUCUGCUUUGUGUGUCAUAUUCUCCUUGCAGCUUUCCAGAGCAGAGUUACCCUUCCACUUGUUCCCCUUUGCCCCCUGCUGAGUCAAUUCCUUUAUUUUCCACCGUUAUUUGUACUGUAGUCACUCCCAGAACCUGGGAAA
Long non-coding RNA from Aquila chrysaetos chrysaetos, 1418 nucleotides. RefSeq lists it as uncharacterized. The transcript has 3 exons. The record is from RefSeq and is a predicted model, not a curated record. NCBI's taxonomy places the organism in Eukaryota, Metazoa, Chordata, Aves, Accipitriformes, Accipitridae.